Molecule: ribosomal RNA, 365 nt
Filed under: uncultured bacterium
Lineage: Bacteria
Description: bacterial SSU rRNA
Rfam family: Bacterial small subunit ribosomal RNA
Source: RNAcentral
GACGAACGCUGGCGGCGUGCCUAACACAUGCAAGUCGAACGGAGUUAAGAGAGCUUGCUCUCUUAACUUAGUGGCGGACGGGUGAGUAACGCGUGAGUAACCUGCCUUUCAGAGGGGGAUAACGUUCUGAAAGAACGCUAAUACCGCAUGACGUCAUAGGACCGCAUGGUCUAGUGAUCAAAGGAGCAAUCCGCUGAAAGAUGGACUCGCGUCCGAUUAGCUAGUUGGUGAGAUAAAGGCCCACCAAGGCGACGAUCGGUAGCCGGACUGAGAGGUUGAACGGCCACAUUGGGACUGAGACACGGGCCCAGACUCCUACGGGAGGCAGCAGUGGGGGAUAUUGCACAAUGGGGGAAACCCUGAUG